Molecule: long non-coding RNA, 786 nt
Organism: Octopus sinensis (East Asian common octopus)
Lineage: Eukaryota; Metazoa; Mollusca; Cephalopoda; Octopoda; Octopodidae
Exons: 2
Source: RefSeq, a predicted model, not a curated record
GUCAUUAUUCCUAUCACUGCUGUCACCAGUAUUGUUGUUGUUAUUGUUAUCGCCAUCGUCAUCGGUGCUGCUCCUGCCGUUAUUAGCGUUAUACACAUACCACUACUACCACCACCACUACCACCACUACCACCACUACUACUACUACUACCACUACUACUGCUACACCUACCUUUCAAGCCACAAGUGCAGUUCUUACUUUCAUUCCUAUCUUCCAAUAUCAGAAUCUCCAACUGAUUCUGCGAUGACAAACACUUGUUCCUAAUUUUUUUUUAUAAUUUUUUCUUUCGGCAUUGCUUUUUUGGUUUUUUUUUUCGGUUUGUUUGCUUUGGCGGCGUUAAAACUGCCAAUCGUCUGAGGCUGCCAUAGCGUUGCUGCGCUGUGGUGUUCAUGCUGCACCUCCUUUCGAUUACCUGAACCAUUAACACGUUCAUUAGCCAUUACGCAAAAUCUUAGAAUUCCGCACAUUGCGAGGCUGGAACAAUGUCGAAAAAGUCGAUAAAAGGAGCCUACCCUCUUGAAAAUUAUGGCGCAAUCUCGGAAGAUUUUGACGAUAAAGUCAGGAUUUUGGAUUCACCUGAAGAGGUAAGUCUUACCUUUCUGCUUUCUUGUUUUUUUUUUGAAUUUUUUUGAUUUUUGUUUCUUUACCAAAAAAAUAUUGUUGUAGGUUCAAAUCUUACACUUUCCAAAACUCUCCCCCUUCACCCCUUGCCGGUUCUUUUGUAACCAAUGGCCGAUCCAAUGCGGUGAAACAAAUAAAAGUAUAGAACAAGGAAAAAAAAAAGG